GUCGACAACGUGAUCAUCCCAAUCGCCACGUACACCGCCACAAAGUCCUGUUUCGAUGACUUCCCCUUCUGCUGGUUAGCACGCCCGUAAUCCGCCGAAGCUGCGUACGCUUUCAUCUUUGGUGCUGUUGAGGUUGUGUACGCUGCCCUACCUCCAACACCGUUUUUCAACGCUGCUAACCAAUUUCCCCUCUGCACCACCACAUCACAUCGUCAUUGUCAAUAACAUCACGCUACAUAUUAACAUAAAUGCAUCACACAUAUAUAACAACUUGAAGAAACAACAAAAUCUUACCAUAGGCCUGAAAACCAUGAUUUCCAAUUGUACUUGUUUCUUGCAGCUGCGAAAACUGAAAUCAGCUUGUGUUCGUUUUUUGAAUGCUGUGGUUGUUGGUUAUUCUAGUGGCGCUCUUAUAUAGUUUGGUGGAUAUGAUCGUUUGCAGAGAUAGCGAAGUGAGGCUGGGCAGAGAAAGAAUGUUCUGGAGCCACGUUGAAGGAUGUGGAAGCCACAGGGCACGUGUCGCUUUCUGCUUUUGACACGUGAGCCGCAGAAGGCUCCG
Molecule: long non-coding RNA, 559 nt
Filed under: Phaseolus vulgaris (common bean)
Lineage: Eukaryota; Viridiplantae; Streptophyta; Magnoliopsida; Fabales; Fabaceae
Description: long non-coding RNA (PVUL_LNC004708)
Source: RNAcentral